CAACUUCAGAGCAGGGAGCUCAGGGCACCCCGGGGUACGGCAACCCUCACCCUGUCCAUUUGCUUCCUGCCUUCCCCUUCUCACCCAGCAGAGGUUCCUGAAACACAGCUGCAUGCUUUCCGUUUGCUGAGACUUCCAAGCAAAGGUCCAAGAAGCACAGCAGAGACCCUUCCAGGAGCUGAGACCAUCCAGUGAAGAUUCCCAGCAUGCCCUGAGGCUGCCACAGUAGGGAGGAGCCAAGACUAAGGAGAAGUCAGGGAGCUGGCAUUCUGGGAAAUGGAGUCCUGCACAGGGGAGGGCUGAGACUUGCAUGAUGUCAUGACACAGGCAUUCUAGGAAAUGGAGGCUUCCUGCCUUGGCUCCUGGGUUUAGAGGCUUGGUGGGGGAGGGGUUAUAAAGGAAUUAUUCCCCUAGGGGGGCUGCCUGCAAUCUUCUCCCCCCACUCCCUUUUCCCCUUCCUGCCCUGCCAGCUGAUUAUUCCUUAGAACAGAAGCUGCCUCAGGAUGCAGCCUGGCAUACAGCAGGUGCCUAAUAAGUGUCUAUUGAUUGACUGACUGACUGAUCAUUCCAUGGAUAUAUAUGCUCACCAGAGCCUGGGGAUUGUUACAGACAAAAGAGUGGUUGCCAUAAACUCUGACCCCCAAAAUAUGGGUUCAAGACUUUGAAUUGCCAAAAGCAUAAAGAUAAUUUUUAGUGUCUUGAUUUAAAUCAAAAAUUAGUGGUCACCAUGGGAAAAAUUCCUAAAUAUGAAAUACCCAAGUCAGCUGGGUUUUAUGGAGAUUUUAAUUAAUAUAAAUUAAGGCAUUAAAGAAAGGGAGAGAGACAGAGUAAGAGGAAAUAAUAGGAAGGCUAGGGCCUAGCCUUUCUUUUAAGAGAGAAAACUAAGUCAGUCUUUAAUCACUCACCACAAGAUCUUUUCAAGCAAAACUCUAGUGCUCAGAGAGACCCUCCAGUUCAGCUCCUGAGCUCCACAAAGUUCAGAGAGAGAGAGUCAAUUCAGCUUCCUAAGCUGAACUAAGUCCAGAGGCCUCUGCCCUCCUUUUAAAGAGAAUUUUCUCCUGUCACCUCCCCUAAAUUUUCACAUCUACCAAUCACAGUAGACGUUUUCCAAAGGACUGACCAUUCUUAGUUUUUCGUUCUCAACUUCUCCAGUUAGAUUAUAUGUUCUGAGUAAGUUCAUACCUCUUUGCCCCUUGCAAGUUGCCUGACCUUUUAGUGAUUAAUUUGACUUUCAUAGGUACUUAGCAUCCUUUUGUAUUAGAUGUAAAAAUAGACCUAGUUUAAAGGCUUUUGCCUCACUAUAAAUAUGGGUUAAGUACUUUCAUUGUUCACUAAGGAGUUUUACAACUUUAUCUUCCCCUAAGGUGUGCCUAAGUAUGGGUGGAGUAAUGUAAAGUUUCCAAUACAUUCCUGAUUAAGUACCUUCAUUGUUUAAAAUUGGGAAUAGCCUUAACCAUAACCUUAAGAUAAUGUUCCAAGGUAGUCUGAGAAAUUUUAAGAUUCACAAUCCCCCCUGAUGUUCAUUGGGAGACUAGUCUCCCAAUUGAUCAUUUAACAUAAUCAUCUUGUAGUCCUAAACGCACUUCUAACUACAGAUUCAUGCAAUAUUCAAUUUUCUUAAGAGGAAAUUAGAGUAGUGAGGGAGGAAAUAGAAAAGAAAGAAAGCAAAACCAAUGUUUUGCUAGGUGCAUUGACAGAAAGCCAAAUUAGGGGUAGUCCCUUUUGGUAUAAACAUGUACAUUUACAAUAAAUGUUCAAUCAAACUUCAGUUCAAUCAACCAUACCCAAAGUUCAUUCCUGAUCUUCUUGCUGUAGUGUAGGUUUUCUGGCAUCUUUCUGCACUAGUUCAUUCUCUGGAUUUAGGAGUUAGCAAGCUUCUUCCUUGAAGAUCUUUCUCUCAAACAAAAUCAAAAUCUUGGAUUUUUAUAAAAAUACAAUCUCAAACAAAAAGUAAAAAAUCUUGGAUUUUAAAUUAAAAUACAAUCCCCCCUGAAGUGUUAAAAAAAAAAACAUCCAGUUCAGCUCAGGAUGCAAUGUUGAGUUAUGGGGGUGUAUGAAUCAAUUAUCAAAACAAGAGAAAAAUACAACCAAAAACACAAGGGAAAAAAAUUUCAAAUUAGGCCCUUGUAUAGGUCCGCUUUAAAGUAAUUUCUAUUCCACAAGUCUGUAGGACAGAAUGUAGUAAUAUUUCACUUACCCAUCUGCAACCAAGACUACAGGAAGUUGCCAUAAUAUAAGAAGAAAAGGAACUAGAAUUCUAUUUUGAUAGGGAAGUGUAAUAGUUAAAAGAGUGUGUUUGCCAUAAACGGUGACAGAUAAAAGAGUGGAGGUUAUAAAUUUUGACUGCGGAAAUAUGGUUUAAAUCAAAAAAGUGGUCACCAGGGAAAAAUUCCCACCAAAUAUGAAAUGUACCCAAGUCAGCUGGGUUUUUAUGGAGAUUUUAAUUAAUACAAAUAAGGAAUUAAUGAGAGAGAGAGAGAGAGAGAGAGAGAGUAAGAAGAAACAAUGAGGCCUAAGCCCUAAGAGAGAGAUCAGUCAGUCUUUAAUCCACUCACCACAAGAUUUGUCCCAAGCAAAAUUCUAGUGUUCAGAGAGACCCCGCUACUCCAAUUAGUCCGAGCUCCAAUUCAGCUUUUUCAAACUGACUUCCAGAGGCCUUUUCUGACCUCCUUUUAAAGAGAAUUUUCUCCUAUGUCACCUCCCCUAAGUUCUCACAUCUACCAAUCACAGUAGAUGUUUUCACAGGUUGACCAUUCUUAAUUCACACCUUCUUUAGUUCUCAACUUCUCUGGGUAGACUAAAACUUCUGAGUAAGUUCACACCUCUUUGCCCCUUGUAAGUUUGCAAGUUGCCUGACCUUUAUAGGUACUUAGCACCUUUUUGUAUUAGAUCUAAAAAUAGACUUAGCUUAAGGCUUUUGCCUCACUAUAAGUAUGGGUUAAGUACCUUCAUUGUUCACUAAAGAGUUUACAACUUUAUCUUCCCCUAAAGUAUGCUUAAGUAUAGGUGGAGUAAGGUUAGAAUUCUCACAUUCCUGACCAAAGUCCCUUCAUUGUUUAAAAUGGGGAAUGGUCUUAACCAAAUCUUCUGAAGUAGGGUCUGAGAAUUUUUAAGAUUCACAGAAGUGUCAUUCCCUCAUGUGAUUUUUUUUUGUCAUUCUCAGGGAUAUAGGGAGCCAGCAUAAUAGUAAAAUUUUUUGCUUGUCUGAGUACUUCACAAAGAGUGUAGAUACAAGGAAGUCCUGCGACUUAACAUAUGUCAAGCAUCGCAACCUUGAAUUAGGGAAUUAGGGGAAGUGACACUAGAAAAAAAAGGUCUUUAAAAGGAAGAGAGGAGGACCUGAUCAAGGUUCUUCUGGGAGUAUGAAAGAGACACACUUGUAGAGGAGCCUCCUGUAAGAAGCAGUUCUACCGGGGCUGAGGAUGGUAAAGAAUCUGGUGAGUGUAAAGGCUGACUUCCUUCCUUGGACUUUCUGGAGGCAUUAGCUUCUGGGAAAGGCCCAUCCUCUUGAGACUCCUUUCCCCUAGCUGGAGCCUUAGAAUUGUUACCUGGCUCAGAGGAAGCCAAAGAUUUUUCUCUCUUCCUUAAUAUUUUCCCUCUAUUGUAAAAUAAACUACCAUAAAUUCCA
Molecule: long non-coding RNA, 3628 nt
Organism: Monodelphis domestica (gray short-tailed opossum)
Lineage: Eukaryota; Metazoa; Chordata; Mammalia; Didelphimorphia; Didelphidae
Source: RefSeq, a predicted model, not a curated record